UACAAAUACAUAUAACAACGAACAACACAGUACAACCGGCUCCUCUGAUAAAAUAGACAUACAAAUACAUAUAACAACGAACAACACAGUACAACCGGCUCCUCUGAUAAAAUAGACAUACAAAUACAUAUAACAACGAACAACACAGUACAACCGGCUCCUCUGAUAAAAUGGACAUACAAAUACAUAUAACAACGAACAACACAGUACAACCGGCUCCUCUGAUAAAAUAGACAUACAAAUACAUACAAACAACGAACAACACAGUAUAACCGGCUCCUCUGAUACAAUAGACAUACAAAUACAUACAACAACGAACAACACAGUACAGCCUGCUCCUCUGAUAAAUUAGACCUACAAACGUUCUUACAACAAAUGUAUGUUGUACUGUUAUACCACUGUCCAUGGUUAGGGGAGGGUUGGGAUCCCGUUAACAUGUUUAACCCCGCAACAUCAUUUAUGUAUGUGCCUGUCCCAAGUCAGGAGCCUGUAAUUCAGUGGUUGUCGUUUGUUUAUGUGUUACAUAUUUGUUUUUUCGUUCAUUUCUUUUACAUAAAUAAGGCCGUUAGUUUUCUCGUUUGAAUUGUUUUACAUUGUCUUAUUGGGGCCUUUUAUAGCUGACUAUGCGGUAUGGGAUUUGCUCAUUGUUGAAGGCCGUACGGUGACCUAUAGUUGUUAAUGUCUGUUUCAUUUUGAUCUUUUGUGGAUAGUUGUAUCGUUGGCAAUCAUACCACAUCUUCUUUUUUAUAAAUACAUACAACAACGAACAACACAGUACAACCGGCUCCUCUGAUAAAA
Molecule: long non-coding RNA, 798 nt
Filed under: Mytilus galloprovincialis (Mediterranean mussel)
Lineage: Eukaryota; Metazoa; Mollusca; Bivalvia; Mytilida; Mytilidae
Source: RNAcentral